Molecule: ribosomal RNA, 332 nt
Filed under: uncultured eukaryote
Lineage: Eukaryota
Description: partial 18S ribosomal RNA
Rfam family: Eukaryotic small subunit ribosomal RNA
Source: RNAcentral
CCCUUAGACGUUCUGGGCCGCACGCGCGCUACACUGAAGGCCUCAGCGUGUCUUCCAUUCCCUCCCCGAGAGGGGCGGGUAACCCGCUGAACCGCCUUCGUGGUAGGGAUCGGGGUUUGCAAUUGUCCCCCGUGAACCAGGAAUUCCCAGUAAGCGCGAGUCAUCAGCUCGCGUUGAUUACGUCCCUGCCCUUUGUACACACCGCCCGUCGCUACUACCGAUUGAACGUUUUAGUGAGGUAUUUGGAUCGCUCGCGUCGGGGAUUUCGGUCUCCUUCGCCGAGUGAGAAGACUCCCAAACUUGAGCGUUUAGAGGAAGUAAAAGUCGUAACA